CAGUAGCCGCGGUAAUACCGAGGGUGCGAGCGUUAAUCGGAUUUACUGGGCGUAAAGCGUGCGUAGGCGGCUUUUUAAGUCGGAUGUGAAAUCCCUGAGCUUAACUUAGGAAUUGCAUUCGAUACUGGGAAGCUAGAGUAUGGGAGAGGAUGGUAGAAUUCCAGGUGUAGCGGUGAAAUGCGUAGAGAUCUGGAGGAAUACCGAUGGCGAAGGCAGCCAUCUGGCCUAAUACUGACGCUGAGGUACGAAAGCAUGGGGAGCAAACAGGAUUAGAUACCCCAGUAGUCCCUGUCUCUUAUAC
Molecule: ribosomal RNA, 301 nt
Filed under: uncultured bacterium
Lineage: Bacteria
Description: partial 16S ribosomal RNA
Rfam family: Bacterial small subunit ribosomal RNA
Source: RNAcentral